UACCUGUCGGUAAGCGAGGUUAAUUAAUUUGUCAUUUCUAUAUGAGUAAGAGGAUAAUAAUCCUCAUGGACAAGUAUAAAAUCGAUUUUAUCGAAUAAAGUUCUAGAUAGAAUAAUGAUUAUGACAAUUUUCUAUCUAUGUGUCUUGACCAAAUUACGUGCCAGCAGUCGCGGUAAUACGUAGAAGACUAGUGUUAUUCAUCUUUAUUAGGUUUAAAGGGUACCUAGACGGUUUAAUUAGUCUACAAUAAGAUACGAUUUUACUAGAGUUAUAUAUGAGGAGGUGAGUAUUUAUGGAGUAGAGUUGAAAUUCAGUCAUACCAUGAGGACUGGUAACGGCGAAAGCAACCUCUUAUCUAAUAACUGACGUUGAGGGACGAAGGCUCGGGUAACGAACAGGAUUAGAUACCCUAAUAGUCCAAGCAGAGAAUUAUGAAUGCCAUAGAUUAGAAAUUUUUAGUCUAUAAAUGAAAGUGUAAGCAUUUCACCUCAAGAGUAAUGUGGCAACGCAGGAACUGAAAUCAUUAGACCGUUUCUGAAACCAGUAGUGAAGUAUGUUAUUUAAUUCGUAAGCACGCGAAAAACCUUACCACAACUUGAAUAUUAUUUUAUUUUUAAUUUUCUAUAUAACUAUACGGAUAUAUAGUAUUAUAGGUGAAGUAUUACAAGCGUUGCAUGGCUGUCUUCAGUUAAUGUCGUGAGAUAUAGGUUAAUUC
This 715-nucleotide ribosomal RNA is filed under the name Erioscyphella abnormis. Its description in RNAcentral is "SSU rRNA". It matches the Rfam family "Bacterial small subunit ribosomal RNA", at positions 335 to 1086 of the family's 1533-position model. Lineage: Eukaryota; Fungi; Ascomycota; Leotiomycetes; Helotiales; Lachnaceae. The record is from RNAcentral.